Homo sapiens (human) is the source of this 560-nucleotide long non-coding RNA. Ensembl annotates it as ETV5 antisense RNA 1. Its record names the gene ETV5-AS1. Lineage: Eukaryota; Metazoa; Chordata; Mammalia; Primates; Hominidae. The record is from Ensembl.
AGAUAAAGAGGUCAGGUUUGGAGUGUGCAGAGAAGGUUCCCUUCACACACUUUUUUGACAAAUGAAUGACUCUGGACAAGUUACUCCUGAUGCCUCAAUGCCUGUAGAAAUGUAAAAACCACCUGCAGUGUAACCAGGAGAUUUCUAUUUCAAAAGCAGAUGUACAAAUAAGGCAAAUCUAUGUUUAUCUUCUAGAGCAAAGAAUGAUUUAAAAUUAAAGCUUCAUUCCUGGGGCCUGGAUAUUCUUAAGUAAAGGGCACAAGCUUCAAGACUUUUUCAUAUAUUCUGAUUUGGAGAUUACUUCUCUGGUGCUUAAAGUUCACAUUAACAUAUGAUAGACAUGAAGAAGUAUAUAUUACCUGCCUCAAAGCCACAGAUCAAGUAUCCCAGGAUUGAGACUCUUUCCCUAGAAGGACUGGGUACCCUAUGAACUUAGUGCUCUGUAGAGCCACAAGGUUUUUAAUGGUUUUCUUUUGUGUGCAGUACAAUGAUCCCAAGGGGACUGGACUACACCCGGAGGAUGACACUGCCAUGAAAGAAGGAUAUGUUUUACCACAGGG